GUUAUUAUAGUUUAUUAAAACAUUAAGUUGUGGUCUUAAAAAAGAGUAUCUCUGAUAACA
RNAcentral lists this transfer RNA (60 nucleotides) under Sphaeroma serratum. RNAcentral describes it as "tRNA-His". The record is from RNAcentral. Lineage: Eukaryota; Metazoa; Arthropoda; Malacostraca; Isopoda; Sphaeromatidae.